UACAGGGGGUGCAAACGUUGCUCGGAAUUAUUGGGCGUAAAGCGCGCGUAGGCGGCUACCUAAGUCGGAUGUGAAAGCCCCUGGCUUAACUGGGGAAGUGCACCCGAAACUGGGUAGCUAGAGUACGAAAGAGGGUCGCGGAAUUCCCGGUGUAGAGGUGAAAUUCGUAGAUAUCGGGAGGAACACCGGUGGCGAAGGCGGCGACCUGGGUCGAUACUGACGCUGAGGCGCGAAAGCGUGGGGAGCAAACAGG
This 253-nucleotide ribosomal RNA is filed under the name uncultured bacterium. RNAcentral describes it as "partial 16S ribosomal RNA". It matches the Rfam family "Bacterial small subunit ribosomal RNA", at positions 524 to 776 of the family's 1533-position model. The record is from RNAcentral.